This 90-nucleotide transfer RNA is filed under the name Sphingorhabdus lacus. Its description in RNAcentral is "tRNA-Ser". It matches the Rfam family "tRNA". From Rfam's summary of the family: Transfer RNA (tRNA) molecules are approximately 80 nucleotides in length. Their secondary structure includes four short double-helical elements and three loops (D, anti-codon, and T loops). RNAcentral also lists the same sequence under 4 other names. Lineage: Bacteria; Pseudomonadati; Pseudomonadota; Alphaproteobacteria; Sphingomonadales; Sphingorhabdaceae. The record is from RNAcentral.
GGAGAGAUGGCUGAGUGGUCGAAAGCACCGCACUCGAAAUGCGGCGUGCUCGUGAGGGUACCUAGGGUUCGAAUCCCUAUCUCUCCGCCA